AGUAACGCGUGGGUAACCUGCCUCAUACAGGGGGAUAACAGUUAGAAAUGACUGCUAAUACCGCAUAAGCGCACAGUGCUGCAUGGCACAGUGUGAAAAACUCCGGUGGUAUGAGAUGGACCCGCGUCUGAUUAGCUAGUUGGUGGGGUAACGGCCUACCAAGGCGACGAUCAGUAGCUGGCCUGAGAGGGUGAACGGCCACAUUGGGACUGAGACACGGCCCAAACUCCUACGGGAGGCAGCAUG
This 246-nucleotide ribosomal RNA is filed under the name uncultured bacterium. RNAcentral's name for it is "partial 16S ribosomal RNA". It matches the Rfam family "Bacterial small subunit ribosomal RNA", at positions 109 to 353 of the family's 1533-position model. The record is from RNAcentral.